UGGUGAGUAACCAUCAAUUUUUGAACUCUAUGGGCUCCAAAUUGAGUUUAUAAUAAUUCCCUCUUUCAAAACUGUUUCUGCUCCUUCGUUAUUAGGAGCUGAAUGUAGGGCCUUGCCGUUGCAAGCAGGUGCUGUAAUAUGAAAUGCACGUCUAGUCCCCCUCCUUGGUUGUCUCUCUAUGAUAUGCCAUCCACAUCCUUUCAGUUGCCUAAACCAGAAACUGGAUCUCAUCCCUUGACUUCAUCCACCCUCUCUAUUUCUAAUCAAUGUUUAGGUUCUGUUGACUCCGUUUCCAGAAGUCGCUCUUGGGUCCGUCCACUUCUUUGCAUCCUCACUGCCAGCCUCUCCAUCUGUGCUAGCAUCAUCUUCCAGCCAGAUUUGUGUAAUGCAAUAGCUUUCUAAAGUAUCUUUCUGCAUUCUAUCUGAAUCUCAACACCAUGCAAUCAAUCCUGGCAGCACUAUUUAGUGGAUCCCAAUGCCUCAGGAGGAAAUCUACACAUUAUAGCAAGAGCUAUAAAGCUCCCCAAGCACACUCUAGGUUGGUUUACACUGUUAUUAGGAACCUUCAAGGGUACAUGUUCCAGCAUACAAAAACUGUGUUAUACUGAACAGACAUGCUAUAGCCUUAAACUUUGAGCUUUUGAGACAGGAUAUCUUUCUCUAAGACAUUUUAUGCCUCUUCUGCUCUGUCACUUGGUUCUCUGUCAUAUUUCCCUACUUGAUCACAUCCAUACCCCAGGAAACCCGUCUUAAUCCCCAAGGGCAGAGUAGGCUGGAGAUGUCCCUUUUAUAUAUCCACAAUGCUUCUUCUCUUUGUGCUACCAUUCCUGGCUUACUGUCUGUUUCCCCUAUAAACUCAGAGCUCCAUGAAGUAGGGUUUUCGUCAGUUUUGUUAAAUGCGUAUCCUUGUUGCCUAGCAGUUUCUGGUCCAAUAAAUCUUUCCUGAGUGAAAGAGUAAGUGACAGUGGGUAAAAGCCAAACUGAGAAAGCAUGAAUUGUUUCAUGGGCUGAGUAAAUACGUAGGGUAUAAUUUAACAAUGUUUACUUCUUGAACAUAGAAUCCAACUCCUUCCUUUUCCAUUUACUGAACCCGAGCUCCCAGGUUCCACCCUCAGUGAAGUUACUAGACUCCCCAAUUCCUUUGUGUGUCCAUAUUCCAAUCAGACCCUCUGUGGGAUUUCUAGGCAGUGAUUUUCUCUGUCCCUGUGUACUUGGCUGCAGACUGCUGAGACUGCAGACUGUGUCUAGUUCGUUCAGUGUUCCCAGCACUAAGCCUAGUAAAUGUUCAUUAAACAUUGCAAACAAAUAUGGGGAUGGAAAGGGAACAUGCAUUUUAAGAUGUUCAUUGAAGCAAUGAAGAUGCUACUGAUGGGAGGAAUGAGUCAUUUGCAGCCGGGAUGAGGGAAAGCAGUAGGAAGGGAAGGUGACACAAAGGAAUGGGGUGACUGUUGCCAGGGGAAGUUGGCUCUAGGCAAGUGAGAAAAGGGAUACUUGGGGCGCUGUGGAAGGGACUCAGAGACCUUCAGAGUGACAGAGAAGACAUGCAGAUGGGUGGAGGACUUGACCCUGGGAACAGAAGAGUUUGGGGACAAAUGGAACAAGAAAGGCAGUCCAGAGAGCUUAUGCCCUCACCGGCCCAGCCCUCCUUUGCCCUUCAUUCAGAGGUUCCUGUCGCUCUCUCUCCUUGGUACUGGCUCUGUGAACUGGAUGUUAAAGGAAAAGAAAGCUAGACCUGCUGACAAGAAGAGGUCCUUGUUUCCCGGCUGUGUGAUGCUGAGCUCGGGGAUGAUCUGAGUAGCUAUGGCAGAGCAAAGAUUUGAGAUUGCAUUCUACCCUCUCUACCCACAAUUCCAAGCUGUGAAAGCACUGUCUUCAGUACAGUGACUGGAACUGCUCCACCACUGAAGGACCCCAUAUGGUGACACCACACCCCUCAUCCUGGAAGAACA
This is a non-coding RNA of Rattus norvegicus (Norway rat), 1949 nucleotides long. NCBI's taxonomy places the organism in Eukaryota, Metazoa, Chordata, Mammalia, Rodentia, Muridae. The record is from RefSeq and is a predicted model, not a curated record.